AACGAACGCUGGCGGCAUGCCUAACACAUGCAAGUCGAACGAGACCUUCGGGUCUAGUGGCGCACUGGUGCGUAACGCGUGGGAACCUGCCCUUAGGUUCGGAAUAACUCCCCGAAAGGGGUGCUAAUACCGGAUAAUGUCUUCGGACCAAAGAUUUAUCGCCUUUGGAUGGGCCCGCGUUGGAUUAGCUAGUUGGUAGGGUAAAAGCCUACCAAGGCGACGAUCCAUAGCUGGUCUGAGAGGAUGAUCAGCCACACUGGGACUGAGACACGGCCCAGACUCCUACGGGAGGCAGCAGUGGGGAAUAUUGGACAAUGGGCGAAAGCCUGAUCCAGCAAUGCCGCGUGAGUGAUGAAGGCCUGAGGGUUGUAAAGCUCUUUUACCCGGGAUGAUAAUGACAGUACCGGGAGAAUAAGCACCGGCUAACUCCGUG
This 433-nucleotide ribosomal RNA is filed under the name uncultured bacterium. RNAcentral's name for it is "partial 16S ribosomal RNA". It matches the Rfam family "Bacterial small subunit ribosomal RNA", at positions 29 to 507 of the family's 1533-position model. The record is from RNAcentral.